GGGGGAACUGAUGGCGUUCCUGUUACCUCUCAUCAUUGUGUUAAUGGUGAAGCACAGCGAUUCCCCCUCUGUGAAACUGUGAAUUGGUGAUAUGGGUGGGUGUAAUCAGACUGGGGGCUGGCAUGAGAUUUCUCAUGCAUUGCCAUAUGUGAUUUGUGUGUUUCAUCUCGACAUAACCAAGGGACGCACUCUCUGAGAUAUUUUCGCCUGGGCGUUUCGGAUCCCAUCCAUGGGGUCCCUGAAUUUAUUUCGGUUGGGUACGUGGACUCGCACCCUAUCACCACAUAUGACAGUGUCACUCGGCAGAAGGAGCCACGGGCCCCAUGGAUGGCAGAGAACCUCGCGCCUGAUCACUGGGAGAGGUACACUCAGCUGCUGAGGGGCUGGCAGCAGAUGUUCAAGGUGGAACUGAAGCGCCUGCAGAGGCACUACAAUCACUCAGGGUCUCACACUUACCAGAGAAUGAUUGGCUGUGAGCUGCUGGAGGAUGGAAGCACCACAGGAUUUCUGCAGUAUGCAUAUGACGGGCAGGAUUUCCUGAUCUUCAAUAAAGACACCCUUUCCUGGCUGGCUGUAGAUAAUGUGGCUCACACCAUCAAGCAGGCAUGGGAGGCCAAUCAGCAUGAGUUGCUGUAUCAAAAGAAUUGGCUGGAAGAAGAAUGUAUUGCCUGGCUAAAGAGAUUCCUGGAGUAUGGGAAAGACACCCUACAAAGAACAGAAUCAGAAACUAUCCCUCUUGUGAUGAAAGCUGUCUCUGGGUCCAUUGUCCUUGUCAUUGUGCUGGCUGGAGUUGGUGUUCUAGUCUGGAGAAGAAGGCCCCGAGAGCAAAAUGGAGCCAUCUACCUUCCAACACCAGAUCGAUGAUUGCAGAUCCCUCUUUUCC
This 883-nucleotide small RNA is filed under the name Pan troglodytes (chimpanzee). Its description in RNAcentral is "processed transcript". The record is from RNAcentral. Lineage: Eukaryota; Metazoa; Chordata; Mammalia; Primates; Hominidae.